UCCUGUUAUUAAAUUCCAGCAUGUCUGAUAUGUUUUUGGCAGGUCCUGGACCCAUUUUACGGGGGGGUAAAUAUCCGUAAUUUAGGGGAGGUUCUGUCAAAUUUUCGGCAGAAUCCUCGAGUCCAAUUUAAUUCUAGGCAGUCGACCUUAGGGUCUAAGUUUAGGAAAAAUUUUCGAAUGUCUAUUAAUUGUAUGUCUUUUGUUAUUAGAUAAUUCAGCCUUCCCGCCAGCUCCACCCGAGGCGUAGGAGCGGACUGUGGAACGCAUCAAAUCUGUGACAGUUAAAGACUUUCGCCUUCGCACAUUCGACAGUCCGACUUCUUCUUUUUCGGACUUUUGUAAUUAUCUUGUACUUGUAUACUUGUCAUUUUUACUCUAGAGUAUCCGCAGUAGGAAAUUUUAAAAUUUGUAUAACUAUUCUGACUCUUGUUGGUAGUUUGAUGAUGUAUUAUGCAAGACAAUUAUGACUAUUUUAUAUUUGGUUAAUUGUA
This is a long non-coding RNA of Ricinus communis (castor bean), 491 nucleotides long. RefSeq lists it as uncharacterized. The record is from RefSeq and is a predicted model, not a curated record. NCBI's taxonomy places the organism in Eukaryota, Viridiplantae, Streptophyta, Magnoliopsida, Malpighiales, Euphorbiaceae. The transcript is spliced from 2 exons.